Molecule: unclassified non-coding RNA, 292 nt
Filed under: plant metagenome
Description: partial contains small subunit ribosomal RNA, internal transcribed spacer 1, and 5.8S ribosomal RNA
Source: RNAcentral
UUUCCGUAGGUGAACCUGCGGAAGGAUCAUUAUUGAAUAAACCUGAUGUGGUUGUAGCUGGCCCUUUCGGGAGCAUGUGCACACCCGUCGUCUUUAUCUUUCCACCUGUGCACCUCUUGUAGACCUGGAUGUAACACUUUCCGAGGCAACUCGGUCGGGAGGAAUGCUGUCAGCUUUCCUUGAAUGUCCAGGCCUAUGUUUUCAUAUACCCCAAAGAAUGUAACAGAAUGUAUUAUUGGGCCUUGUGCCUAUAAACUAUAUACAACUUUCAGCAACGGAUCUCUUGGCUCUC